UCAGUACGUUUGGUGCGUUAAAUGCGUCCACUGUAUUUGUUGGUUAUUGUAUUUUUCUUGUGUCUGUUGUUGUGUUAUUUGUUAUUAUAAUUGCACGUAAUUUUCAUAAUAGCCCAUGAUUGACCGAAAAAUGAAAGCGUAUUAAUUAAUGUUUAUUUCGGUACUGCCGCAACAUCUACAGAUGGAAUGGUGCUCGAAGGUUUCCUUGAUUUCGUUUGCGCUUAUCUAUUCGAGAUUGGCUAACAAAUAAGAGAAAUUGAAAAGUUCAUUUUGGCCAUAGCGAUGACAACAUGGGAUGUCUGACUUGGUGUUUUUUCUCGAUUUGGCUUGCUUUCCACACAUGUCAUUCAUGGAACCUUAUAUUCCACAGUUAAUUCAGAGAUUACCCGAUAAGUUAAGUUUAUUCUGAUACUGCCGGAAUAUCUACAGAUGGGAUAGGAUGGUGUGCAAUGGUGAAAUUCUACCUGCAUUAUUACCUGCAAAUAUGAUACCAUUGAUUGUAGGAGUCCUCUUCUCCAGAAAGUAGGAGUAUCCCAAGAAAUUCUAAAAGUGCCUUUUUGCCACAACAAAGACAUUACUUGUUCAUUUGUGGAAAUGAAUUAUCAACAUGAAUGGUAUACUACACAGAAGUUAACACAGUCAAGAGUACUCGGGAUGCCAUGUAUUAUGCGACAUUGGUUCCUCAUUCACUCUAGGUAGUAGAAGUACCUGAAGUCCUGAGGAGAGCGUGAAGGUGCCUUUUUUACAUUUGGAACAGAAACAGUGUGUUAUUGCUAAAGGAAAGAUUUAUGAAACUAUGAGACGGAUUGAUUGGUUAACAAAUGGGAGAGAUUGGAAUGUUAAUUUUAACCCUAACGAUGACGACAUGGGAUGUCUGCAUGGGUAUCCUUUCUGAAUUUGGUUUUCAUUCCACACAUGUAAACGUUGAAACACUACAUUCUACAGCUAAUUCAGGUAAUAAUACAUGGUUAAAUUAAUAUUAAUUACACUUUAUUAAUCUGUUGUCAAUUUGAUUAACAAAAGACGUUCUGAAUUCAUAGGAUGACGUACGUAUGUUACUUCUUUGUAUAAUACCGUUAGAUUGUCCAUUAUUUUGCUGGGGUUAAAGGUUAUUGUGAACUUCAAUUUAUCCAAUUUUUUUCUAAAAAGGCUUGGUUGGCGUUUAUAGUCCCACUACAUUUUGGUGAGUUUGUCAUAAAAAUUCAUAGAGAACAUCGAUUUACAUUUCCAACCACCCAAUUUAACCAAGACUUUUAUGUCUUGAUUAUUAAUAUUUUAAACCCUGAUUUUGAAAUUCGAGUCUUUAAUAAGUAAAGGAAUUCAGAAAUACUACUGCAGCUUGACGUUCAGAAUACUUUGCAGUAAAGUGGGUUGCAUAUAUCAAAGACAAAAUAUUUAAAACUAAAUCCAUUUUAAAUCCAUGUUAUGAUGGUACGUUCCCGCGAAAUUAAAGAGUGCGCUGUAGUCUAAAUAAAAAUAAAGAUGUUACAGUGCGAGUCGAAAUUUGUAAGCAGCUAAAUUUUUGGAUUUAAAUAAAACAACCUAAAUUUAUAUGAUACAUAAGCAAUCUAUGAAAAUAAAUAAGAUUUUACAACACAACGCUGCUAAUAUAAGUGGUUUGUUUUCAUUUUGUUUUGUAUAUUUCUUUAACGUGAGCAUUUUUACCUUGUGUCCUGUACAUUUCAACUUUUUAUACGAUUCCUGAUAAUGAUAGUUAAAAAUGCGGACAAAAAAGUGUUGGUUUUAUUUGAAAAAGUUGUGAUGAGAGAUUGAUAAACUCGUAACAGUUGCUUAUUUCGUGGGCAUCUGAAGUCUAUAAUUUAUUUCUACGUUUCCAAAAAGAAUUGUAUUUCAAAAAAAUUUCCGUAUUUUGAAAUUGCAUACAAAGGAAAUGAAGUUUCAGUUAUAAAACCGUUGUAAAAAGGGCAUGCACCUUUCGUUGGCACAAAAAUGAAAAAAUUAGUUAUUUUGAAUUAUCCCAAAUGAAAUCGAAAAUUUCCCACCCUUAUACCAACAAAAGAUGCUUGUCAAGUUUUUCACAACGGAUUUAAAACUAAAACUUAUGAUUAUGUUCCUGUAUAAGCUUAAUGUUACAUUCUGUUUUUUUUUUUUGAUAUGAGCAAUAGUCUGUACCAUGUAUGUCAUCUUUUGGUUUUCUUUAAACACCUGAAUAGAAAUAAUUGUCUCUGCAUUAUGUAUACGUAUGCAAAGUACAUAUUA
This 2220-nucleotide long non-coding RNA is filed under the name Agrilus planipennis (emerald ash borer). RNAcentral describes it as "uncharacterized LOC108743105, transcript variant X2". The record is from RNAcentral. Lineage: Eukaryota; Metazoa; Arthropoda; Insecta; Coleoptera; Buprestidae.